This is a non-coding RNA of Cyanistes caeruleus (blue tit), 2285 nucleotides long. The record is from RefSeq and is a predicted model, not a curated record. Lineage: Eukaryota; Metazoa; Chordata; Aves; Passeriformes; Paridae.
GCAGAACGGACAAAAUGGCGCCCAGCGGAGACGUGUGAGGGGAAACAUGUGAGGAACCGCCCUGCCAGACCAGAGUGGAGAAGGGCAGCUGCUGGAACAAAUGUCUGACACUAAACAGCGAAUCCUACCGCAGACCUGAUUUCAUCCAGUCCCAGCAUCCUUCAAAAAAGCACAACUGGAAUUGGCUCCAUAAAAGAGACUGAUGUCACUUUCUUAAAUGAAGCGGCCUUGACAAUUUUCUGUGAUCUUUGGUGGAUCUUCUAGGCUGGGAGAGGAAAACGGGGCAUGACACUCUUGCACCUUCUACUGGAUAACAACAGAAAAGAGAGAGGAAAAGCUCAGUUCUACCGUGGCUGGAAGAUUUAGAAAAUGCUUAUUGCAAACUUCUGUGUGUUUCCAUCCUUAGGAAAGGAUGUUUACCAAAGCACCUUCCCCACUGCCCGGUUCUUGGCAGCCUUGGGAUGUGGCAGGUGCUCGCUGAGCUGGGCAGUGACAAGUUCUGCAGGACCCACGGUGGCACCACACCAUGAAACCAAGGCAGGAAAAGCGCCCAAGCUGAGUUUGCUCCCUGAAAACAAUCUGAGGCGAUGUGGAUUGCACCACGACCAGGAGCACGGCAAUCAAGAACAAAAAAUUAGGUUUAAAAUACACACGCACAAAUCAGAACUACUCCGGACACGAGAUAAUGCAAACUAACCUUGCCAGAAAUGAGCUGCAAAAUACCUUCAUUUUCUCAUACAGUGAAACCCUGAUAAAAUCACAACUGUUAAGGUCAUACAGUAUAUCAGGUGGAAUCACAGUCUUUAGAACUCCAUUAUUAAUGCACACAACCUCACAAUCAAAGAGGAUAAGAGCACAGUUCCCAGAUGCCAAUGAUUUGAUCCUAUCUUAUUUGGCUGUUUACAUUUAAAUAAUGUGGCCGUAUAAAUUUAAAUAAUAAGAACCACCAACAGAUGGAAUGCAGGGAAAAAAAAAAUGUGCCUUCCAUGAGACCCUGAACAUAUACUACACGGUGCUUUACAAUUUAUUUGAGCGGAGCUCAUAUUAAAAAAAAAAAAAAAAAGAAAAAAAGGAAAAAAAGGGAAAAAAAAGAGACUCAUUUCUUCUGCCAUUAUGGAAAUAAAAGGACUGGUGCUUUAGUUCGUUGCUAGCACUGCCAAAGAAACAUGCAGUUCUCUAACCUCCAGUACAAUGUACCCAUAAGGUACCAAGCAUCAAAGCAUAUUAAAAGAUAUUAACUGCAUAUUUGCUUAUGAACAAGAUAAAAAGCUGUAGGGCCUCCAGGUUCUCAAGCUGUGAGUGGAACAGCUUUGCAAUUUGCCUGCAAAACUGCAUUUUGAUCUUAAUGAAUAUAAAAUGGCUGCCAUUAAAAGUAAAACAGAUUAUUUCAGGUCUUUUAGGGCCCAUAGCUCUUUGACGGUCUUGGAGGGGCACUAUGAUCUUUCAUUAAAAUCUCACAGCAGGACUCCCUCACCAGCAAAUCAAGCCUUGCAGUCGAGGAGAUUGGCUACAUUUAAAAGUAAUUUUCAGAAAUCUACACAGAUUUUCAAUUUGGUAAUGAAAGCCAUAAGAGAAUGCAGGCAGCAUUUUGUUGAAUAUUGUUCCUAAUCCAGUGCUCACAUUCGUUAGAGAUUAAACUGCCCCGUAACUACCAGGCUGAUGGCAGCCUGCCAUUCCCGCUCUGCUGUAAACUCCGCUUGUUAAUGAGGAGCAUGUGCUAAUUGUUGUCAGCAUCCCUGCCAUACAUCCCUUCCCUAACAACAUAUUUUACCUGCUGAAAGGUGUUACCUCUUGCACUGUCAGCAUCCCAUUUGAGAGAACAAAUCUCAGAACGGUAGGAGAAAAGGUUCGGCGGCAUUUCGCGUGGCACGGAACUAAAAGGAUGUGUUUCAGUAUCGAUAUCCAGACCCUCCUGGCACCUCGUCCUGCAGUUGCUACUCCUACAUUAACACAUCAAGGCAUCCAGAUCAGGGUUACAUCAUCCCUCAGGUUCCUCCACAUGGAGCCCAAAGCACAACAUCAGCACCUCUGCUCUCAGAACAUGUGUGAUUGACUGACCACCACUCCAAGUCAGUGGAAAGACUAAAGAUGAGGGAUCAAUCCUAUCUGCUAAAAUCUGAAAUGGCUUCAUCCACACACAGCAUGGAUAAAACAGGGUGCUGGAGGAUACAUUUACCAACUUCACUGUGGUAUUUCACAACACAGCUUCUGCAGCCAUUCAGUCUCCAAAUAUCUACCUACCCACCGACUGCAACUGUUUUAAUCUCAAUCGUAGCAGGUAGGAC